This 620-nucleotide ribosomal RNA is filed under the name Paroster hamoni. RNAcentral's name for it is "partial 16S ribosomal RNA". The stretch from base 377 to 535 matches the Rfam family "Bacterial large subunit ribosomal RNA", at positions 2473 to 2632 of the family's 2925-position model. The record is from RNAcentral. Lineage: Eukaryota; Metazoa; Arthropoda; Insecta; Coleoptera; Dytiscidae.
UUAGAGUAGAAUUUAAGGUUUAACCUGCCCACUGAUUAAUUAAAUGGCUGCAGUAAUUUGACUGUACAAAGGUAGCAUAAUCAUUAGUUUUUUAAUUAAAAGCUUGUAUGAAUGGUUGGACGAAAUAAAUACUGUCUUUAGAUAAUAAGUAGAAUUUAAUUUUUAAGUUAAAAAGCUUAAAUAAUUAUAAAAGACGAGAAGACCCUAUAGAUCUUUAUAAUAUUUAAUAUAUAUUUAAUUAAGAUUAUUUUAUUGUUUAUAUAAAAUAUUAUUUUAUUGGGGUAAUAAAAAGAUUAAAUUAAUUCUUUUAAGUUUAUAUAUAGAUUAAUAAAUUUUUGAUCCUUUAUUAAAGAUUUUAAGAUUAAGUUACCUUAGGGAUAACAGCGUAAUUUUUUUAAAGAGUUCAUAUCGAUAAAAAAGUUUGCGACCUCGAUGUUGGAUUAAAAAUUAUUCUAGGUGUAGUAGUUUAGAAUUUUGGUCUGUUCGACCAUUAAAUUUUUACAUGAUCUGAGUUCAGACCGGUGUAAGCCAGGUCGGUUUCUAUCUUUAUUAGAUUAAUAUAUUUUAGUACGAAAGGACCAAAUAUUAAAUAUAUGAAUAUUUUUAUUUUUGAAUUAUAA